CCAAUUGCUUUGAUGAGUAGAGUAGUUAUGCAGGUAAUCCACAGCGAGUCUGAAUUUGGUGAAAUCAGAUGUUUACCGGUAAUGAAAAUGAGCUCUGAGCAUCUAGUCAGUGAAAGCUGGUUGGACGGUUGGGACCGUUAUUUCUUUCAGUAUGUAAGGUAUUUACUGGAUAAGAGAUUGCUCGCGAGGGCAAUUUGAAUAAGGGUGGCACCGCGAUUGUUAACCAAUCGCCCCUUCC
RNAcentral lists this non-coding RNA (238 nucleotides) under Aerococcus viridans. Its description in RNAcentral is "T-box sequence". It matches the Rfam family "T-box leader". Rfam says of the family: Uncharged tRNA acts as the effector for transcription antitermination of genes in the T-box leader family. Lineage: Bacteria; Bacillati; Bacillota; Bacilli; Lactobacillales; Aerococcaceae. The record is from RNAcentral.